GACGAACGCUGGCGGCGUGCUUAACACAUGCAAGUCGAACGGAAAGGCCCUGCUUUUGUGGGGUGCUCGAGUGGCGAACGGGUGAGUAACACGUGAGUAACCUGCCCUUGACUUUGGGAUAACUUCAGGAAACUGGGGCGAAUACCGGAUAGGAGCUCCUGCUGCAUGGGGGUGGUUGGAAAGUGUCGGCGGUAGGGGAUGGACUCGCGGCUUAUCAGCUUGUUUGUGGGGUAGUGGCUUACCAAGGCUUUGACGGGUAGCCGGCCUGAGAGGGUGACCGGGCACAUUGGGACUGAGGUAGGGCGCAGACUGCUACGGGAGGCAGCAGUGGGGAAUAUUGCACAAUGGGGGGAAGCCUGAUGCAGCGACGCCGCGUGCGGGAUGACGGCCUUCGGGUUAUAAACCGCUUUCGCCUGUGACGAAGCGUGAGUGACGGUAAUGGGUAAAGAAGCACCGGCUAACUACGUG
RNAcentral lists this ribosomal RNA (468 nucleotides) under uncultured bacterium. Its description in RNAcentral is "partial 16S ribosomal RNA". It matches the Rfam family "Bacterial small subunit ribosomal RNA", at positions 28 to 507 of the family's 1533-position model. The record is from RNAcentral.